GCGAAGUUAGUUUAGUGGUAAAACAAUAGCUUCCCAAGCUGUGGUCGCGGGUCCGAUUCCCGUACUUCGCU
Molecule: transfer RNA, 71 nt
Filed under: Periweissella beninensis
Lineage: Bacteria; Bacillati; Bacillota; Bacilli; Lactobacillales; Lactobacillaceae
Also listed under: 1 other name
Description: tRNA-Gly
Rfam family: tRNA
About the family: Transfer RNA (tRNA) molecules are approximately 80 nucleotides in length. Their secondary structure includes four short double-helical elements and three loops (D, anti-codon, and T loops).
Source: RNAcentral